GUGCUCACUUUGGCAGCACAUAUACUAAAACUGGAAUGAUACAGAGAAAAUUAGCAUGGCCCCUGUGCAAGGAUGACAUGCAAAUGUGUAAAGCAUUCCGUAUCUUU
This 107-nucleotide small nuclear RNA is filed under the name Sus scrofa (pig). The record is from RNAcentral. Lineage: Eukaryota; Metazoa; Chordata; Mammalia; Artiodactyla; Suidae.